UUACCAAGGCUUUGACUGGAAUGUCAUAGUUGAGAGAGAGAUGCAUAGAUUCAGACAUGACCAGACAGCUGUAAGGAACUGCCUGAAACUUGGCUCGGCUUCCUGGCCUCAGAGGCUUUGAAAGAGUCAAAUCUGAGAUUCCUUAUAAAAAGUUCCAGCAAAGCAGUCUUAAAAGAGCUUAUGUGGUCAAUCACCAUUCUUGCUACACUCAUGUAAAUAAUCAGGCCAAGUUUAAUACAAACAAAUUAGUUUUACUCUGAUUAUCUUUGGUAAAAAAUGGGGUAAUUGUAGAGAGAAAAAUUAUGUUUGCACCUUUGUAGAUAUUUAGAUUCUAACCCUGUUAAUUGUCUUUGAGGUUUUGUUAUAUACCUGUAAACUGAACUGGAUCCUAAAUUCUUCUAAUUUUCUCAAAUAUCUGGCUACCACUCUCCAACCGAAUGUUUCCUAUUGCCUCCCAUCCUUCUGAUUUGGAAUCACUGAGACCAAAGACUGUCCUUGAAUCUCCUUGGAAAGGAAUAUACUAGGUCUUCCUCCCGACCCAGAUGGCAGCCAAACCUCCAGGACUUAAACCUUGGCUACACAUCUCACAGUGGAAGAAAGCUCCUCCUGACCUCUGGUCCUUUACAAACACUGAAGACCUCUGAAUCAAACUGAUGAGCAGGAGAAGCAGCUGACAUUGACGUAGACUGCUUCCACCCAAGACACCAGAUCAAGAUUUCCCAUUUUAACUAAACAUGAAACACUGUCUUCCUCUCUUCUUUCCUUUACUCUGGCAUUGGCCUGGCAAGAUAAUGCCACCAUCAUAUCUCCCAAGCCAUUACUAAGGGAGAGCAACCUUUCAGACAGCUGGAUUCAUCAUCAAAAACUCCAAUCUGUUCAUGAUGCUGGAACCCAUGAACAAUGCCACCUGAGCAGUAAUGGUUUACGCCCCAACAGGAUUUAAUUUCAUCGGUGGUGGUGAUCAUUCUCCUUGGACCUAUAAAUGCUUAGAUGGCUAACACAUAACUGGGCAAUGCCCCUUAGGUUAUCUAACUGUGCCACUCAACUGUUCUCAAAUAGGCUAAGACACUUCAUUGGUCAACUCCCCUAAUCAUCCAAUUCGAAAAGACCUGCCAGGAGGCCUUCAUGAUUCAGGAUGUGCUUCUUUCGGCAGGUCCCUACUUCCUUUGUUAGGAGUGAGUACAAAUGAGGCUGUGAUCAGAAAUCCCUCCUUAACUCUUGAAAGUAUUGCAGAAUUCGCUGCUAAAGCAAUAGCUGCCCAAUGAAAAUCUCUAGACUCUCAGCUCAAAGUAGUUCUUGAUAAUAUGACAGCCCUUGAUCAUUUGUUAGCUGAGCAAGGAUGUGUCUGUGCUGUGGCCACCACCGCUGCACCUGGAUUAACACUUCUGGGGAAGCUGAAAUUUAGUUACAUAAAAUCACUGAGUGCGCCACUUGGCUUAAAAAGGUGACUCCUUCAACAGAGUAUUUCUUUCACUUAUUGGAUUUUGAUUGGUUUGGGUCUUGGGGACCAUGGCUCUGAAGUGCACUCCAGACAUGGGAAUUAUCCUACCAGUAACAGUCAUAGUAAUCUCCCUGAUGCACUGUAUUCUCUCAAAAGCUUUAAAUGCGUGUUUGCAGCUGCUAACCAUCAAGCAAAUGAAUGUGAAGUCGUGACCUGUGAAUACCACAGGAUUCAGCAGAAAACCUCAUGACCUGUGACUAUAACACGGAGAAACAGUAAAAGCUGCGAGACCAACAGAGCGGUAGCUGAGAGUGGCACUAAUGCCUUAAAUUUUGAUCACAUCUUUCAAGUUAUGCUAAGAGUCUCAUGCAAAGGGGGAGAACUGUUAAAAAAGAAAAAACAGGAACAAAAUGGUGUCACUUGUGCUAAGUCCCACAUCAAUAAAUCAAGACUUAAUUGCACUUUCAGUCUCUCACAGGAAUGUGACCUUUAACUAGUCAAUCUGGAAUUACCUGGUCGGCAUGAGUGAGUAAUCUGCCUCAUAGAUCCCCACACUACUCUUCCCCAAAGGAAGGUGAUCUUGCCCGAAUCUGCUCUUUGCUAGAAACUUCCUUUAUUCCGUCCCUUCUGCCCAUAACAGCCUUCCACUUUGCAUAGCUCCUUGGACCUCCCUUCUAUUUGCUAGCUGGGAUGCUGCUCAAUUCAUGAAUUGUUGGAUAGAGCCAAUUCGAUCUUCAAAUUUACUCAGUUGGCUUUUGCUUUAAACACCUUAGCAUCAUCAUCCUCUGAAAAUAAUGCUAAUUUUGUCUUUUUUCUAUUACUAUAUUUCUUUCUUUCUCUUAUCUGGGGGACAAAGAGAUUAAUUAGAACACUAAGGUUCCUUAGAGGAUGUAAGACUUCGGUGAAUCUUGCAGGAAUAGCAGCAAUUGGACUGGCUAAGAGGGGAGGAUGACAGAAAUAUAGCCACGCAUUGCUCAAUGAUGGGGAUACAUUCUGAGAAAUGUGUUAGGCAGUUUCAUCAUUGAGCGUACUUACACAAUUCAUCAUAGAGUGUACUCACACAAACCUAGAUGGUAUAGACUACUACACACCUAGGCUAUAUGGUACUAAUCUUACGGGACCACCCUCCUAUAUGCCCUCCGUCCUUGACCCAAACGCUGUUAUGCUGUGCAUGUCUCUAGAUAAAAUUGAGCUGUCCUACUCCCAACUAACGGAAGUCAGUUGAUAGAACCGCUGGUGGCACCUGGAACUCUACAUAUUACAUCACAGAAAAACUCAGACUAGUAGUGUCUUGGAACAUGUUUUGUUCAUAGUAAGUGUGAAAAUAAAGGAAAACCUCUUUUAAAAUGGAGUCAUGAAACCCUGAAGGGGGACCUCUCACGUACAUACCACUCACUGCUGCCUGCCUAACUGGCAGGAAGAUGGACGAUAAGAAUUAUUUUAACCAGGCCUAUUUGUAUAAAAUUCUCUCAGUCCCAACUUCUUAUCCGUGAUGAUAAGAAUGUAACUUUUCUGCUGGUGCAACGGAGGACAUCUUCACCUAGGAAUUUCAUCUCCUGCUUUUAAGAAAAGGAAGGAAGAUCCGUCCCUGCCGCAGCGACAACGCAUUGUCACAACCUUACACUCUUGUUCUUCUCCAAUGAACUUUUAUUCUAAAUAACCCUCCUUAAUUUCCUCCUAACACCUAAUAAAAACUAACUUUCCCCUUGUCUCUUCCAACUUGCCUAUGGUUCACCAUAGUUUGCACGUCCAGAAUUGCAAUUCCUCGGCUAUUCCCAAAUAAACUCAUUUUUUGAGCUUGCCCCCCAGACAGCUUCAUUUAGGUUGACAUAACAGCUAAAGAUAGUUUUAGUCUCUAUUAACAUCACAACCAAAUACUUAAAUCACAACCAAGUACUUAAAAGCCUGACAUAAUUGUAGACUCAUAAGUGAAAUGUCACAUUAUCAUUUUCAAUAAAUCAGCAUCAAUUUAACAUUUCGGAGAGCCCCCCAAAUUCUCAGCACUCAAAUCCAAGACAAGAAAGAUAAAAAACAGUACGACUGCAUUCUGGUUAUCCUAUGAAUUAAAGUGGAGUGAGUGUGAGUGAGUGUGUGUGUGUGUGUGUGUGUGUGUGUUUUAAAGCCUUUUGUUCACCAGCUUCUUUCCCUAUCUUACACUGUACUCCCUAAGGACUGUGUAUAUCAUUUAACUUUCUCCAUUGAACGAUAAACUUCAGAAGGUCUGGCCAUUUUGGUUCUACGGGGUUUCUAUCUCUUGCGCUUUCCCAGAUCAUACCAUGUAUUUAAUAUGCAUUGACCCACCUGUGCAGAAAAGGGACCGUCUAGUCUCAUGCUUAAAUCAGUACUAUGUCACUAUCCAUCGAUCAAUAAGUUGUGCAUUCUCGGUGACAACUGAAUGUUUUCUCUUUCAGCUGAAGUUUAAAGGAGGAGGGGAGUCGACUCCAAAACUGCACACUGGUGUAGCCCCAAACGGAAAUACAGCGAAAGCUCGAGCGACCUCUCCCAGCGCAAACGAGUCCACCCCAGCUUCAGGAAACGAAGGAGUAUGUGGGGUUGCGGAUGACUGGCUUUGGGGCUCAUUCUUUUCACUACAGCGCCCCAGGAGCGGAAGGCAAGCCCAGGCUCCAGGGACCACGCAGUCCCGCUGGGGCUGAGAGCGUCUCCCCCAGGGUGUCCCGGACGCCCGGCAGGAAAGAGCGCCGCCGGGCCGCCGACACCUGAGCGCGCGCCCGGUGGGGCGGGCCGGGAGCCCUCUCUCCCUUCCGCCUGCGACGCGCGUUGUCGGUCGAGCCGGUGUAUGUGCGGUAAUAACAUGUCUGCCCCGCUUCCCGCCAUCAUCCCCGCCGCCCGGAAGGCCACUGCUGCGGUGAUUUUCCUUCAUGGAUUGGGAGAUACAGGAAUUUCCUCUCAUCAUCGUGAAUUCGUCAUUUUUCAACUCCUGUUUCUGGAACGUAUUAAAAUUGCAAACGCCUCCUUGAGUUGCUGUGGGCAUUGGAUACCAGAGAUGGGUGGAAUGUUUGUAGAGAGUGUGCAACUGAGAGCUUUCCGGAGGAGUUAAAAUUUCAGGGCAAGUUGAGGAGAACAACUGGUUGAUUUUGAUAAGAGCAAUAAUCGCAAUGUGAGGUAUACGGCAUUCUGAAUGAAAGCUUAAUUAUGCCCUUAAGAGAAAAAAUCAGUUCAAGGGUCGGGGAGGCAACUCAAAGAUUUAUUUGGCAGUUUAUCAAACACAUUUUGUUGUGCUAACUUGAGAUGUACAAUUUAUCUUUCAGUCAGGCUUUUCCUAUAUUGUGAAGUGUUUGUUUUUAAUUUAAAUUGUGAUUAUCUGUUUGAAACUUAGGUAAAACUGUAACAAAAUUGCAGAAUUAGAGGAAAACUGAAGAUAAACAAAUUUUGAGUAGGUGGUCAAAUAAACUAUUAAAUAAACUAUUAAAUCUUCUUUAUAAGGGUGUGUUGGGCUAGAUUAAUUCUUCAAAGUGAUUCCUGAUAUUCUUUUUAUGCCCUUUAAGUAGAGGUACAUGACAACACGGAAAAGAUUGUAGGACUCUUUCUGGCAAUGAGGUAGUCCUAUGAAAAUGAUAGACUUAUAUUUUACUAUUUUAUUUUCCUGAACAGGUUUAGAGAAGCUCUCUUUUAUAAUCAAACCCUUCUUGAUACUGAGAGCCGGGGAGGAACUUGCUACCCUGUCACUUGCCCAAUAAAGAGAGCUUCUAGGCCUGAAGAAUCAGUCCAAGAAAAAAAACUUCAGUGUAGAAAGCUUCUCUGUGGGCCCCCAUUUUGACAUAUUCUGUAGACUGAAGUUAAGAGUGAAAAUGAACAAUGUGAGAUUAAAAAUACCAAGAGCAUCCAGGACAUCUUGACCGAGAAUUAAGUUUACAUACAAAAUUAGCUGGCCAGCCCCAUGGCCGAUUGGUUAAGUUCACGUGCUCCGCUCCGGUGACUCAGGGUUCACCGGUUCCGAUCCUGGGCACAGACCUGCACGCUGCUCAUCAAGCCAUUCUGUGGCAGCAUCCCACGUGGAAGAACUAGAAUGACUUACAACAAUUCAGGCGUGAGGAGGGGAGAAGUCCUAAGGCUCUGACAUUCAUACCGUGUCCCUGGUUCCAUUCUAAGCUAGGAAAUGCUAACUCUUAUGAGGUUCAUGUAGAAGAGUGAGCUUCGGGUCUUUUCUCUCAAAAUUCUAUGACGAGACUAACCAAAGGCGGGAAUUCUAAUGAGGGAACUUGGCUGAACUUUAGGCUUUGAACACUGAAUCUAGAAGGGUCGCUGAGAGUGUAAGUACAUGAAGUGGAUUAAGUGACGGAGUGAUGGCCAUAGUGAAGAUUAACUGGGCUCCGAAAUAGGAGAGAAAUCACUGAACAUGAGGCUCAACUUAUGUCCUAUCUACGGAAAGCCCAUUAAGGGAAGAUCAAUUUUAGAAAAUGUUAAAGAACAACCAGGUUUAAAUUUAGUACCAAUACUGAAUACUCAUUGAUUUUAAAGAAAAAUAUAUAUGCAUAUGCUAUAAUGCUAGUACCCCAUUUUAAAUAGAAAAAUUACCAUACCUGACUCACCUUCUCUUCACUGAAAGAGAAAUUACUAAUCUUAAAAAUGAAACUGUCUAAUUGCCAUUAUAUUUACAUUUCUCUACAUUUUAUCGGUGCCAAAACAUUUAAAAUAUAUCCUUCUAGAAAAUAAAUAUACUACAGAAGAUAAAACUAGUUGAAAACACAACCAUGUAACGUUUUAAGGCACUGCAUUCCAUUAGACAGAACCCAAAGUGAACUGAGUACAAAGACACAAUGUGAAGUUUAUACGUGAGACUCUUCCCUUCUCUCCGAUUUUGGACUCCAGUGUUAAUCUACAUGAAGUCAGCUCCCUAGCUACACAAAACAUAACUUCUCAGGAUUUAUUUGAAUUGUUAUAAGCAGGUAAUUAAGUAAACUAAAAGAAGUCUAACUGAAAAUUCAAUGUGCAAGUAAGCCGAGAUACACUUGAUAAGGAUUCCAUAUGCUAAUGGCCUUGGUGCCACGCCAGCUCUUUCCUCUGAAGUUCUCAGAUUUCAUCAAUCUUUGUGGACUGGCAGCUCAGCAGCUCCCUCACCUUCACUGAGCCACAAACACGUCUGGGCCAUCUGUGUCCUGAAGACAGGGGAGGACAUAUCAGCAUUUCCCCUUCCCCAGGAAUUCAGUUGACAUUCUUUAGUAAAAUACACAAAAGAACAGAUUGCGCUUCAUCUAUAGGGCAAUUUCACAUUUCGCAAAGCUGUAUGGUGCACAAAUCUCAUCCAUACACAUCUGAGGUCGUCAAUUCAUCAUCUCAUUAUAGCAAGAAAGAACAAACAUUCAACAAAUAUAUAUUGAGUGCCUAGCAUACGAAAGGAAGGACACUGAUAUGAACCCAUUCUUUGCCCUCAUAUUCUAUUAGAAGCCAUGUGACAUAUACGCAAAGGAACUCACACAAGGCCAAAUAGGAUCACGUGUGUGAUACACACCAAGAUCUAUAGCAGUAUAAUGAGCAAGAGAUCCUACUCCCAAGUAGAAUAGCUGGCUAAAAUAGUAGAAAUGUUAUUUCAGCUAAACCUUGAAGAAACUAAAACCGUUUUUGUCUUCUGUUGAAGAAGCAGAUAGGAAGAGUUAAACAUCUCAAGUAGAAGGAAGGGAUUAGGCAAAGCCAAAAACACACACAGUGAGUGUGCAAGGCCGUGAGCAGUCCAGACAGCGACAGCACUGGCUGUCUACUGCACAGCAACUUAAAACAAAGGCAAAUGACCAGCCCGGACCAGACCACAGAAGGCUCUGACUUCAAAGCUGGGAUUUAUCCAGUAGCGUCAGUGGGGAGUCACCAAAACACAGCACCGCUUAAGGAAGGUUAAUUUUUCAGUACACAGGACAUAGUAUAGGUCGAGAAAGCCUCGAGACAGAAAAAGUACAUUCUAAUAGUUUAACUGAUAAAGCCCAGAACUAGAAUGAUGUCAGUAAGCGGGAGUGCAAGGUGAUUUAAUAAGUAUCUUAAAGUGAUCUAGAAAAGUAUCUUAUAGUGAUCUACAGAAGAUGAAACAGAAAUGAGGAAAUUUAUGCAAAUAUAAAUUAAAAGGAAAAAUCUUCAUCAGAAAGCUUAUUCGAACAAGUACCUUGUAACCAACGGAGACAGGGGAUGGGGUCUUUCUUAAGAAGAAUUCAAAAAUCACCCAAUUGGGACGGACAGUUUAAGGGCUCAUUCUUCUGGAGACAGAUUUCGUUUACUCAUUCAACAAACACUUAUUGCAAGCCUACUGUGUACCAGAAAGCAUCGUUAAUUCCCUCAAGAACAAAGCAAACAACAGAACAAGCAGGGGAUUCACUGUUGGCCCUUAAGAAAGGCAUCAUCUCUGUCCUCUCUGAAAGAACUGGGACUUGUUCCACUGGAGAAAGAAAAUGAGCCUCGAAUUUCUUCCCAUAGUCAGGUUUCAAGACUCACAAGACAUAGCAGGUGUUCAGACUACAAUAAUGAGAUAUGUUAUUCCCAAAUCUUAAAGCACAUGCUGCCUAUGCAAAUUCAACAACAUCCAACUCCACAAAGAUUUUCAAAUAUGCAAUUCCACUUAGACUAUCAACUCUUAUCCAAAUUCUCAACUAGCUGUUCCUUGACUAAAAAGUUACCUGUAACUUGAUCUUCAGUGUUACCCAUAAAAAAUUAUUAGCCCAGCAGGAAACUCCCAAAAGAAAGUCCCCGCUCUGACUGAAACAGUCUCUGCUGUGGUUUAAAAAGAAGAAAAAAAAAACACACUUGCAAGAAAGAAAUCGAAACACUCCAAUACUCUUUAAGAACAAGAACAAAACAAAUCAAUAGCAGCCCUCUGAUGACACCUGGUGGCCGCUUCUCACAGGAAGUUUCUUUCAGCAUUUUAAAGAAAUUAUUCCAGGAAACGUUAACAGUUCUCAACCACUUCACAUGCUAUCUUGACUAUGGGCAGCACACAUGAAGUCUCUCCCCUCAUUUCCCUCCUUUUUGUUCCAGUUUUCACUUAUUUUGUUCCAGUCUUCACUUCUCUUUUCAUCUCUUCUCUCUUUUCUAACCAGUAGACAUUAAGGCAGCUUGAGCUUGCUUUCUGUCUCUUUCUCACACCCUCUCUCACUCACUCACACACACACACACACACACACACUCACACUCACAGACAUCCUCUCUCACUGGUACAAGGCCACCCACACAGGAAACCACCUUCUCCCUGCCUCCGUCCCACGCCAUCUCACCCUUCACCCCUCCUAGACUUACCCAAAUUAGUGGUGCAAGCAGUGUGCAGUUAGCACGUGUUGGCACCAGGCCCAUGGUAAAGUCACAACAGGGGAUAGUGUGCAGCAUGGCUGGCGUGCACACACGUGCAUUUAUAAAAGCUCCCAAUGCUCUUUUGCCCUUUCCCUUUGAGGAGGUCAAAAAAGGACGAACUCCAGAAGUUGUGGAGAUCCUACAGCACAGUCUCCUCCUGGAAGGGCAAGGUAGGACACGUAAGACUUCCUACAAGCCUAUUGCGAGCUGAGCAAGACAGGAAUAAACGGAAAUUAGCGGACUGCUCAGAUCUCUUUCUUAAUCUACCAUUUUCAAUUGGACCUUUUAUCGAAAGUAUAUGUCUUAUACGAUUACCUGAUUUAAUAAAGUACCACCAAGUCCAUAUAUAGUCUGUUCAGGAGAAAACUGUAGUAUUCGUUGUCAAUACAAAACUUCCUCACCCUCACCUAGCAGGAGGCAUUCAAACUUCGGAGAUGUAGGGGC
This is a long non-coding RNA of Equus caballus (horse), 9169 nucleotides long. The record is from Ensembl. NCBI's taxonomy places the organism in Eukaryota, Metazoa, Chordata, Mammalia, Perissodactyla, Equidae.